This 457-nucleotide unclassified non-coding RNA is filed under the name Hevea brasiliensis (rubber tree). The record is from RNAcentral. Lineage: Eukaryota; Viridiplantae; Streptophyta; Magnoliopsida; Malpighiales; Euphorbiaceae.
AACGAUUUUCCACCUACAGAAAUACCUAAAACAUCAAUGAAGUAAAACGAUGUUCCUUGUGAUGAAGCGAAUGGUGUGAACUGGAGGUUCGAUUUUGCUCCAUUUUUGCCGAAACUUAAAUGACCAUUAGAUCCUCUUCUGGUAGGAAGACAGUAAGAGAAGUAUUUCCCGAAUUUCGCAGAUGUUUGUGACACAAUAGAAAGAGGAUCACGGCCUAAACCGAUUAAUCCGGCGGUUUUCCCGAAUAAUCCUUUGUUAUCUUGCCCACAACCGAACAUAAAUCCAUCAAACACAUCUGUUGCUGAUAAAGUUAGCCUAUCCUUCGCGAAAAACCCAAUAGAGAACGAUGAAUCACCAUACUGGAUACCGUAAACGCAGGUAGAUGAAGAACAAACAGGACUAUUACCGGUAGCUGAUUUAAGCCCAGAACAAGCUGUGGAACUGCAGGAAAUGUUGG